This 1345-nucleotide ribosomal RNA is filed under the name uncultured bacterium. RNAcentral's name for it is "bacterial SSU rRNA". It matches the Rfam family "Bacterial small subunit ribosomal RNA", at positions 28 to 1381 of the family's 1533-position model. The record is from RNAcentral.
GACGAACGCUGGCGGCGUGCUUAACACAUGCAAGUCGAACGGAAAGGCCCUGCUUUUGUGGGGUGCUCGAGUGGCGAACGGGUGAGUAACACGUGAGUAACCUGCCCUUGACUUUGGGAUAACUUCAGGAAACUGGGGCUAAUACCGGAUAGGAGCUCCUGCUGCAUGGUGGGGGUUGGAAAGUUUCGGCGGUUGGGGAUGGACUCGCGGCUUAUCAGCUUGUUGGUGGGGUAGUGGCUUACCAAGGCUUUGACGGGUAGCCGGCCUGAGAGGGUGACCGGCCACAUUGGGACUGAGAUACGGCCCAGACUCCUACGGGAGGCAGCAGUGGGGAAUAUUGCACAAUGGGCGGAAGCCUGAUGCAGCAACGCCGCGUGCGGGAUGACGGCCUUCGGGUUGUAAACCGCUUUCGCCUGUGACGAAGCGUGAGUGACGGUAAUGGGUAAAGAAGCACCGGCUAACUACGUGCCAGCAGCCGCGGUGAUACGUAGGGUGCGAGCGUUGUCCGGAUUUAUUGGGCGUAAAGGGCUCGUAGGUGGUUGAUCGCGUCGGAAGUGUAAUCUUGGGGCUUAACCCUGAGCGUGCUUUCGAUACGGGUUGACUUGAGGAAGGUAGGGGAGAAUGGAAUUCCUGGUGGAGCGGUGGAAUGCGCAGAUAUCAGGAGGAACACCAGUGGCGAAGGCGGUUCUCUGGGCCUUUCCUGACGCUGAGGAGCGAAAGCGUGGGGAGCGAACAGGCUUAGAUACCCUGGUAGUCCACGCUGUAAACGGUGGGUACUAGGUGUGGGGUCAUUCCACGGGUUCCGUGCCGUAGCUAACGCUUUAAGUACCCCGCCUGGGGAGUACGGCCGCAAGGCUAAAACUCAAAGGAAUUGACGGGGCCCCGCACAAGCGGCGGAGCAUGCGGAUUAAUUCGAUGCAACGCGUAGAACCUUACCUGGGUUUGACAUGGAUCGGGAGUGCUCAGAGAUGGGUGUGCCUCUUUUGGGGUCGGUUCACAGGUGGUGCAUGCCUGUCGUCAGCUCGUGUCGUGAGAUGUUGGGUUAAGUCCCGCAACGAGCGCAACCCUUGUUCACUGUUGCCAGCACGUUAUGGUGGGGACUCAGUGGAGACCGCCGGGGUCAACUCGGAGGAAGGUGGGGAUGACGUCAAGUCCUCAUGCCCCUUAUGUCCAGGGCUUCACGCAUGCUACAAUGGCUGGUACAGAGAGUGGCGAGCCUGUGAGGGUGAGCGAAUCUCGGAAAGCCGGUCUCAGUUCGGAUUGGGGUCUGCAACUCGACCUCAUGAAGUCGGAGUCGCUAGUAAUCGCAGAUCAGCAACGCUGCGGUGAAAACGUUCCCGGGGCU